This 1440-nucleotide ribosomal RNA is filed under the name uncultured organism. RNAcentral's name for it is "SSU rRNA". It matches the Rfam family "Bacterial small subunit ribosomal RNA". The record is from RNAcentral.
AGGAUGAACGCUAGCUACAGGCUUAACACAUGCAAGUCGAGGGGCAGCAUGGUCUUAGCUUGCUAAGGCCGAUGGCGACCGGCGCACGGGUGAGUAACACGUAUCCAACCUGCCGUCUACUCUUGGACAGCCUUCUGAAAGGAAGAUUAAUACAAGAUGGCAUCAUGAGUCCGCAUGUUCACAUGAUUAAAGGUAUUCCGGUAGACGAUGGGGAUGCGUUCCAUUAGAUAGUAGGCGGGGUAACGGCCCACCUAGUCUUCGAUGGAUAGGGGUUCUGAGAGGAAGGUCCCCCACAUUGGAACUGAGACACGGUCCAAACUCCUACGGGAGGCAGCAGUGAGGAAUAUUGGUCAAUGGGCGAGAGCCUGAACCAGCCAAGUAGCGUGAAGGAUGACUGCCCUAUGGGUUGUAAACUUCUUUUAUAAAGGAAUAAAGUCGGGUAUGGAUACCCGUUUGCAUGUACUUUAUGAAUAAGGAUCGGCUAACUCCGUGCCAGCAGCCGCGGUAAUACGGAGGAUCCGAGCGUUAUCCGGAUUUAUUGGGUUUAAAGGGAGCGUAGAUGGAUGUUUAAGUCAGUUGUGAAAGUUUGCGGCUCAACCGUAAAAUUGCAGUUGAUACUGGAUAUCUUGAGUGCAGUUGAGGCAGGCGGAAUUCGUGGUGUAGCGGUGAAAUGCUUAGAUAUCACGAAGAACUCCGAUUGCGAAGGCAGCCUGCUAAGCUGCAACUGACAUUGAGGCUCGAAAGUGUGGGUAUCAAACAGGAUUAGAUACCCUGGUAGUCCACACGGUAAACGAUGAAUACUCGCUGUUUGCGAUAUACUGCAAGCGGCCAAGCGAAAGCGUUAAGUAUUCCACCUGGGGAGUACGCCGGCAACGGUGAAACUCAAAGGAAUUGACGGGGGCCCGCACAAGCGGAGGAACAUGUGGUUUAAUUCGAUGAUACGCGAGGAACCUUACCCGGGCUUAAAUUGCAGAUGAAUUACGGUGAAAGCCGUAAGCCGCAAGGCAUCUGUGAAGGUGCUGCAUGGUUGUCGUCAGCUCGUGCCGUGAGGUGUCGGCUUAAGUGCCAUAACGAGCGCAACCCUUGUUGUCAGUUACUAACAGGUUCCGCUGAGGACUCUGACAAGACUGCCAUCGUAAGAUGUGAGGAAGGUGGGGAUGACGUCAAAUCAGCACGGCCCUUACGUCCGGGGCUACACACGUGUUACAAUGGGGGGUACAGAGGGCCGCUACCACGCGAGUGGAUGCCAAUCCCCAAAACCUCUCUCAGUUCGGACUGGAGUCUGCAACCCGACUCCACGAAGCUGGAUUCGCUAGUAAUCGCGCAUCAGCCACGGCGCGGUGAAUACGUUCCCGGGCCUUGUACACACCGCCCGUCAAGCCAUGGGAGCCGGGGGUACCUGAAGUGCGUAACCGCGAGGAGCGCCCUAGGGUAAAACUG